GAAACACCCACGGUUGGAGAAGGAAUCAGCAAAGCGCAACGUGUUUGUUCUGUGCUGAACUGGAUUUUAGGUCACAGUGAAUGUAAAUCUCUUUGGUGGAGUUAAACCUGCACAUGGGUGCAUUCCAAUGCCAUUAAAUGGAACCAGUGAUCAUCAGUGUGUUGUCAGCAGCACACUGGAUUUGGGUCCCACGGUGCAGUGUGAGCUAAAUUUACAUGGACAAGAUACCUCCAUGGCUAUCCAACUCGAUGGAUUCUCCAUUCCCCGAGCAGACAGGACAUUGGAUUCUGAGAAAUUGAGAGGGGAAAAGAUCCUCAAAAGGUUCUACAGCUACACCAUCGAGAGCAUCCUGAUCGGUUGCAUCACCGCCGGGGAUGGCAACUGCUCAGUAUCUGACCGUAAGGAGCUACAGAGGAUAGAGCGUACGGCCCAGUACAUAAUUGGAGCCAAGCUUCCUGCCAUCCAGGACAUAUAUACUAGGCGGAUUCAGAGGAAAGACCCAAAAAAUUGUCAAAGACUCCAGUCACCCAAGUCAUAGACUGUUCUCUCCGCUACCGCACGGCAAGCGGUACCUGAACGCCAAGACGAGGACCAAAAGGCUCCUUAACAGCUUCUACCCCCAAGCCAUAAGACUGCUGAACAAUUAAUCAAAGAGCCUCCAGGACUAUUUACAUUGACCCCCCCCCCGUGUUUAUUACCUACAGUAUGCAGUCACUUUACCCCUACCUACAUGUACAAAUGACCUUGACUAACCUUUACCCCCACACAUUGACUGUAUAUAGCCUCGUUAUUGUUAUUUUAUUGUAUUACUUUUUAUUAUUUUAUACUUUAAGUUUAUUUGGUAAAUAAUUUCUUAACUCUUUCUUGAACUGCAUUGUUGGUUAAGGGAUUGUAAGUAAGCAUUUCACUCUUGUAUUCAACGCAUGUGACAAAUAAAGUUUGAUUUGAUUUCAGACAAGAGAUGAACCUCAAAGAUGAUUGAAAUGGAAUGGAAUCAAAUCAUGAUCAAACGUUUUGGAAUUGCUGAGGUGGUAACAUGCAUUGUACUGGAAUAUUCCAUACCAGUACCGUGAAGGGGAGGAUAGUGUGUGCCAAGAGUCUGGCAUCAGUGUUUAUGAGAGAGAGGAAGAUGCAUUGUAACAGGGUACUGUAGGUAGAGAUGUGACUCAGUGCUUCAUCUAGUGGCCAUCUUAUGAAAUUGGAGAAAAUAGACCACACACAAAUUAUUAUGACCACAGUAGAUGUAACCAACCAUGUAUUAGGGGUUAUUCAUAAAAUUCUACUGUUUUUCUACUGAUUAGAGGCUGGAUUAAUUAACAGGCUACUCUAGAUGUUAACAAGGCCUAUGCAUUAUCCUGUGUAUGGAAAAUACAGAGUGUACAAAACAUUAAGAACACCUGCUCUUUCCAUGACAUAGACUGACCAGGUGAAUCCAGGUGAAAGCUAUGAUUAUUGAUGCCACUUGUUAAAUCCACCUCAAUCAGUGUAGAUUCAGUUUUUUUUUUUUUUUACCUGUGACCCAAGCUUAGGAAAAUAUUUAACUAUAUGAAAAUAUUGGUACAUUUCAUUGCCCUUAUGCCUAAAACUAAAAUUCUAUAUAAACAAAAACAAAUAACAAUUAAAUGAAAUAUUCAUAAAAACAUAUAUUCAUGUUUAUUUCCCCCCAUUAAAAACUGUCACACCCUGACCAUAGUUUACUUUGUAUAUUUCUAUGUUUUGGUUGGUCAGGGUGUGAGCUGAGUGGGCAUUCUAUGUUUCAUGUCUAGUUUGUCUAUUUCUAUG
Long non-coding RNA from Oncorhynchus tshawytscha (Chinook salmon), 1782 nucleotides. Lineage: Eukaryota; Metazoa; Chordata; Actinopteri; Salmoniformes; Salmonidae. The record is from Ensembl.